GGGGUUGUAGUCUAACUUGGCUAGGACACGAAAUUAUGUGGAAGCCUCGGGCGCUCGGAAUCUGGGUUCAAAUCCCGGCAACCCCA
RNAcentral lists this transfer RNA (86 nucleotides) under Ignavibacteria bacterium. RNAcentral describes it as "tRNA-Pro". It matches the Rfam family "tRNA". Rfam says of the family: Transfer RNA (tRNA) molecules are approximately 80 nucleotides in length. The record is from RNAcentral. Lineage: Bacteria; Pseudomonadati; Ignavibacteriota; Ignavibacteria.